GCAAGUCGAGCGGAAACGAGAAUAGCUUGCUAUUCGGCGUCGAGCGGCGGACGGGUGAGUAAUGCUUGGGAAUAUGCCUUAUGGUGGGGGACAACAGUUGGAAACGACUGCUAAUACCGCAUAAUGUCUACGGACCAAAGGGGGGGAUCUUCGGACCUCUCGCUCAUAGAUUAGCCCAAGUGAGAUUAGCUAGUUGGUAAGGUAAUGGCUCACCAAGGCAAUGACGCCUAACUGGUUUGAGAGGAUGAUC
RNAcentral lists this ribosomal RNA (250 nucleotides) under uncultured bacterium. Its description in RNAcentral is "partial 16S ribosomal RNA". It matches the Rfam family "Bacterial small subunit ribosomal RNA", at positions 57 to 305 of the family's 1533-position model. The record is from RNAcentral.